CAUACAAAUUCAUGUAUACCGACUGGGACGACCAGUUAUUUAUGUAAAGAUUCCCAUCUGAGUGCCUAAAUCAAAUGGCCCAACAUCAUACUUAUGAUACAUGGAAAGUCAUGGUACCAAUAACAGACACAUAAGCAUUACCACUCCACAUUCAGUUCAGAUUCUGUAUUAAAUUGAGUUAGCUUAUAUUACCAUUUCAGGCUUCUCAGCCAAACAUAUACACACACAAAAAGGAUUAGAUAGAUUCAACCAAUUCAAACCCAGCACAUGCGCAGGCCUAGAAAAUGGAAUAUAAACCGUGGAUUUAUGCCCAAAAUCAGAUCUAACACAGUUAACAUUUAACAAGUCUCUCAUGUUUAAGUUUAACGCAUGUCUUUCUAAUUACUCAGGACGACCCAACCAUCAUGUAAAUAUGCUACUCCUUAAUUACCAACUCUAUAAGUCACCGACGGAUUCAAAAAUUGAAGUUUAUGGAUUUCUAGUGAUCUCAAGUUAAUAUACAAUAAUAAUUAAGUUCACGCUCAAAUACUUAUAAAUAUUUAGUGAAUUUCUUAAUUAUAUGGUGCGGGUAAAACUAAUUAAUUUACGUAACCCUUAAACUUAACUACGUGGUAGAUCCACCCCUUCAUAAGGCAAAUCGUCAUCCAAACCCGUACACAUAUACAACAACAACAACAACAACAAACCCAGUGUAAUUCCAUAAGUGAAGUCUGGGGAAGAUAGUCAUAUGUACGCACACCUUACUCCGACCUUUAAGAAGUCAGAAAGGUUGUUUCCAAGCGCACAUACAUACUAAAAGAAGAUAAAUCCAUCAAAUACAGGAUUUCCACAACAUGAAGCAUAUACUCAUAAAGAUGCUGAUCUUCCUAUUAAGAAGACUAUGUGGACAUGAAUUCGCUCAUCUUUAAACAGAACUAGCGUUGUACUCAAAGAACAAGACAGAAGGCUUAGUGUGUAUAAUCAUUUCAAUCAUGUAACUAGCUAACAUGCCUCGAAAAAAAUCAGAAAUAGCCAGAUUUAUAAUUGGUAAUUGAAAAAUAACUACAGUUUCAAAAGUAAUCGAAAUUUAGCCACUUUUUUUUUAUAUAAAGAUAAAAUUCGAACAAAAAUACUCUUAAAAAUCCGUAAAAAUCCCAGCAUAAUAUGCUAGAGUUCGAAUUUUUUACAUAUAAGAUUUCAGCAUAAUGUAUUGAAAUUUCAUAAUAUGCUGGAGUUCCAACAUAAUAUGUUAGAAGUUUAUAUAUGCAAAAGCUCCAUAAUCCAGUAUAUUAUGCUAGAACUUUUGUUGUUACAGCAAAACAAUGACUAUUUUUCAAUAAUCUUGCAAACACUGACUAUUUUUCAAUUAUCAGUCCGAAAACUGGCUAGCCCGUGCUAUUUGUCCAACAUGUCAUGACAAAAUUAAAUUUCAUGAUACCAAACUCCAUGUAGCAAUGCAAAAUUUUGAAACAUAAACAGAAUGAUAUCUAAAGUUAAGAGAAAUAGCACCUUAAACCGGAGACAAGCUCUAGCUUUUGGUCUUUACUCUUUAAUUCCCACAACCAACGUGAAGGAAGGUGGCGGAGUCUUAGUAUUGAACUGUAUAUUGGUAGAUAUUUGACUGUGGUAAAAUGUGUUUGCGUGUCUUGUUUAGAUGUGUAAUGUGGGUGGUAUUGUGUAUUUAUAAGAGAGUGAGGAGUAAAACGAU
Molecule: long non-coding RNA, 1687 nt
Filed under: Nicotiana tabacum (common tobacco)
Lineage: Eukaryota; Viridiplantae; Streptophyta; Magnoliopsida; Solanales; Solanaceae
Description: long non-coding RNA (NTAB_LNC006093)
Source: RNAcentral